Tripterygium wilfordii is the source of this 2265-nucleotide RNA transcript. RefSeq lists it as uncharacterized. The transcript is spliced from 5 exons. Lineage: Eukaryota; Viridiplantae; Streptophyta; Magnoliopsida; Celastrales; Celastraceae. The record is from RefSeq and is a predicted model, not a curated record.
UUUCUUUCUUCCAAUAAUAUUUUAUUUCCUAACAGUCUCAAAACUGAUUUUUGUAUUUAUCUGCCAGCUUCCAGUGGACAAGAUGAGUCAGAAACCUCUUUCUCUCUGAUAUCAAUCUUCUUACAUGAAAUUUUUUGGGCCGCAUUUUUUUGCUGAUUAAACAUGGGAAUUUCAUUGACAGAGUCAACAUAUGAAGCACCUGUGUAGUAUGUCAAUCCUUUGGGUGUCAAUUUGGUAUGAUUCUUGUGCACCUUUAAGCUUUUUUGCAUAUUCUACAAUAUUUUUAUAUCUGUGGUUUAUGAUCAAGUAACUUGCUGACAAUUUGUCUUUCUUUGUUGCUGGUUCUUGCUUCGAGUAUUCUUCUCUAGUUCUCUUCAGCUAAGAUUUUAUACUUGCCUCUCCUUCGUGCAUUUUUUGUGAAUUGUAGUUAUCUUAUAUCUUUAUUUAUUCAGUUGCUUGAAGCUUUUUUGAUGUUCGUACAUGGUUUGCAUAAUGUUUUGGGAUAAGGAAAUAUGAUUUAACUUGGGCUUUGUAAAUUUCAUAUAUUAUCCCAAGGGUUAUAAGAAACUCAUUUCCAUUACUGCCUCAAUGGGCUACUUGGAGAUAUAGUGCCUUGUGCAUCGUGUGUUCAAUUGCAUUAUGCUGCUCUCAGCGUUGCUAAGAACAAGCUAACGAAGGACCUUGGCAGAUGCAAAAGUGAUUCAAAUGAUUUUGAAGGGAUUGGAGACUAUAUUAGAGAUCACUUUAUGCAGUGAUUCAGACCCAUAUGUGGAGUGCUUUCCUGAGCAUAAACAUGAAUGUAGAGGAGUGAACAGGCCUACGGUGUUGCCAUCUGAUAUAUUUUUGGCUGCUCAUGUACUGGUGAAGUCUACAUUGCAAGGAGAAGGUUAUGUUGAGGUUAUCAUAAUUAUUUCUCAAAUCAGAGUGAAUUCUGUGGCAGUUGUUCGCAUGAAAUCUGUGGAUAGUUAUGGUCUGGCGGGUGAACUUAGAAGACAUCCAUCUAAUUUAGGUUCUUUAACUAGCUUGUUGGAACAGGCUAUUAGGAACUUCUGAAACCCAUGCUACAACUGGUGUAGCAGGAACUUUUGGGUAUGUAGCACCGGAGUAUGCAUUAACAUGUCGUGUGUCUGAGAAGGCUGAUGUUUACAGCUAUGGUGUGGUGCUACUUGAACUGAUAUCUGAUAAGAAGGCCUUGGACCCUUCUUUUUCCUCGCAUGAAAAUGGUUUCAAUAUUGUUUCUUGGGCCUGCAUGCUGUUGCAACACGGUUAGGCUAAGAAAGUGUUCACUGUGGGUUUAUGGGAUGCAGGACCCCAUGACCAUCUGGUGGAAAUACUGCAUUUGGCAAUCACCUGCACUUUCAACUGCGAGAAACAGAAACUGAAGAACUUUCGGAAAGUUGACAGUGAAAGAUGCUCAGAUGCGCAUUUGUAGGUAUCAGUAUGCAUGAGGUUGGUGGAUCCAAAGAUUUUGAUAUCAAUGGAGUGCCACCGUAAGCAAUAACUUCCUUUUUAUGGAUCCUAGAUAUUGCUCAAAGUGCAGUUCUCAUUGUUAUUUUGAGACUUCAUGUGCAGCAUCAAACAAAGCUUGGAAAUACAUUAGAAGGUCAGAAGUUCAAGUUUUUUCCAUCUUUGCAUUUGCGAUUAGUGCAUCUAGCACGAACAGGUCUAUCAUAUAAUAACUUAAAAAUAAAAGUAAAUCAUGUCAAUUUACGUGUGAUUUUCAUCUAUAGACUAUAGAACUGAGCUGUAUCUUCACUUCCAUUUUGGAAAUCUGUUUCUCAAAAUGUAAUUCAUUCAUGUAGGCAUGUUAAUGGCUGCAUAAUAAUACACUUUCGUUGUACUGUUGGAUUGAAAUUACGUGCGCUACACUUGCUGAUGCCAUAAAUUCUCUUGUUGAGAUCAAUAUUGCAUGCAUAUAACAAAGGGCAUUGCAGAAGUGAGUUUCAACUUCUUCAUCUUUUUGUUCUCUUCCAAAAAAUAACUCCAUCCAUGACUAGACAGUUUCGGUUUUGAAUGGUCCGUGCAUUUCUGUUAGAAUAUUUUGAGGUGCUUUUCAUUGCCAGGCAGAGAAAUACUAUAGGUAUACUAGUUUAUCAGGGAAUAUCUGUAACUCUUAUAGACUUUCAUGGCUGUGUAUGAUGUAAUCUUCCAGGCAGAUGACGUACUUGUGAAAGUUUUUGUUUGCUAGGCGAGUUACAAUUGUGAAUGAGCAUUGUAAGGUAUAUGUUUGCAUGAAAAUUAUAGGAUCCUGGAACUUGCAUGAUA